Molecule: ribosomal RNA, 800 nt
Filed under: uncultured bacterium
Lineage: Bacteria
Description: bacterial SSU rRNA
Rfam family: Bacterial small subunit ribosomal RNA
Source: RNAcentral
CUGCCGCGUGCUUACCUGCAAGUCGAACGAUGAAAGCGGGAGCUUGCUCCUGCUGGAUUAGUGGCGAACGGGUGAGUAACACGUGAGUAACCUGCCCUUGACUCUGGGAUAAGCGUUGGAAACGACGUCUAAUACCGGAUACGACCUUCGGAGGCAUCUCCUGGGGGUGGAAAGAAUUUCGGUCAAGGAUGGACUCGCGGCCUAUCAGCUAGUUGGUGAGGUAAUGGCUCACCAAGGCGACGACGGGUAGCCGGCCUGAGAGGGUGACCGGCCACACUGGGACUGAGACACGGCCCAGACUCCUACGGGAGGCAGCAGUGGGGAAUAUUGCACAAUGGGCGCAAGCCUGAUGCAGCAACGCCGCGUGAGGGACGACGGCCUUCGGGUUGUAAACCUCUUUUAGUAGGGAAGAAGCGAAAGUGACGGUACCUGCAGAAAAAGCACCGGCUAACUGCGUGCCAGCAGCCGCGGUAAUACGUAGGGUGCAAGCGUUAUCCGGAAUUAUUGGGCGUAUAGAGCUCGUAGGCGGUUUGUCACGUCUGCUGUGAAAACUGGAGGCUCAACCUCCAGCCUGCAGUGGGUACGGGCAGACUAGAGUGCGGUAGGGGAGAUUGGAAUUCCUGGUGUAGCGGUGGAAUGCGCAGAUAUCAGGAGGAACACCGAUGGCGAAGGCAGAUCUCUGGGCCGUAACUGACGCUGAGGAGCGAAAGCAUGGGGAGCGAACAGGAUUAGAUACCCUGGUAGUCCAUGCCGUAAACGUUGGGAGCUAGAUGUAGGGACCAUUCCACGGUUUCUGUGUC